GGCCCAGUCCUCGCGAGAUUUCGGCCCUGACGAGAGGCUGAAGCGGCUCGGCGGCGGGUCUGGGAUGCGCUCGCAGAAGGAGGGAGAGGGGGGCCCAGGGUUGCCCGUUACUACGCGGGGUCCGAGCGGGAAGGAGAAGCCGUCGCCCACAGAAAGCCACUUCCGCCGGGAGUCUCAGCGGCGGGAGCCUGAAGCGCCAGUAGCCUGGUCCUCCGGCUGUGGGGGCGGUGCAGUCGAACCUCGCGAGGAAAAGAGGACGGUCCUCAGCAAGGUGGUCAUCCGGCGGCUUCCUCCCAGCCUCACCAAGGAGCAGCUGGAACAGCAGCUUCACCCCCUUCCUGCACACGAUUACUUCGGGCUCUUUACUGCUGAUCUCAGUCUUUAUCCUCAUCUCUAUUCAAGAGCAUACAUUAAUUUUAGAAAUCCUGAUGACAUCCUGCUUUUUAGAGAUCGUUUUGAUGGAUAUAUCUUCAUUGACAGUAAAGGCCUAGAAUAUCCUGCAGUGGUAGAAUUUGCUCCAUUCCAGAAGACAGCCAAAAAGAAGCUAAAGAAAAAAGACACCCAAGCUGGAAGCAUUGAAGAUGAUCCAGAAUAUAAGAAGUUUUUAGAAACUUACUGUGUGGAGGAGGAGAAAACUAAUGCCAAUCCUGAAACUCUUCUGGGGGACAUAGAGGCAAAGACAAGAGAACUUAUUGCUAGAAGAACCACACCUCUUUUGGAGUAUAUUAAAAGUAGAAAAUUAGAAAAGCAGAGAAUUCGAGAAGAAAAGCGAGAAGAACGGAGGAGGAGGGAGUUGGAAAGGAAGCGCUUACGGGAAGAAGAGAUAAGAAGGAGAAGGGAAGAGGAGAGACGUAAGGGGAGAGCAGCGGAAAAACAGCAGAAAACUGCUGAGAAAGAAGUAAGGAGGAAGCUUCUCAAGAAAUCAGAAAAGGGAGAGGAGUCAAGCAGUGAGAAGCCCAAAGAAAGAGGAGAGGAAAUUGACACCAGAGGUGGGAAACAGGAACUCGGUCCCAGCUGUGUAGUCGUGAAGCCCAGGCCCUUGGAGAGCUCGCUGCAGGAGCUCAGGGAAAAGACCGACCAGGCUUGCAGCUGUACCAGCCCAGAGGUGGCAUCCGAGCCCGUGAAUGUGAUGGAAGACCCCCUGAGGAGGGCCGUGACGGGAGGAGGGAUGAGGUGGAAGAUUCACCAGGGGCUGGAGCUGAGAAGAGCGAAGAGGCAGACAAGAGCAGGUGACCUUCACACUUGGGGCAGCCUGCUUGAAUCAAAAAGUACCCUCUGCCACUCCCUUCAUUGGUGCAAAGAAGACCGUUUGGAAGAGGUUGACUUCGCACUGUGACGAUUCGUUGGCCAUGCAUAAAAGAACUCAGCAGACCAGUGUCAGGUUCCUGGUAACCUUUCAUCGGCAGGACUGGAGAAAUGACCACAGGAUGGUUUGAGGAUACUGGACCCACUGUGAGAUGAACCUGAGCUGAAACUCCAUUGAUUAUCUGACCUCCAGAAGCCCCUACUCUGACUGGAGGGCCACAGUUAUGCUUGGUGUCUCCUGGAAUCAGUGUCAGUUCAGAACCAGUGUCCAGGCAUUCCUGAAGGGUCUGAUUAGUUCCUUUUGCCCAGUGCAGCCACCCUGGUAAAUGGCCAUCUGUACCUUUGGGGAAGGCUGGGAAAAAGGUUAACAGUAUACAUUUUUGGCAGUGUACUGGGAUCCUUGCUCAAGGGGACCCAGCCUCCCCUUCAUUCAAGGUCUGUGAACUGGCUCAAGUCUGGGAAAUGACUGAGGGGCCAUGACUGUUUUUAUGAUUCAAGUUGGAAUUUUGUUCACUUGACCUAGAACUCUUCCAUUUAUACAAAUCUAGUAAGAAUUUAGUAGGCUUCCCAUCCACUUCAUCUAAUCCUCCGUGUGGCCCAUGGCAAACAUUUACAAGAGAUCAGUGGGUGUUAGAAGCAAAGUUAAUUGAAAGUAUGCUCAAUCCAACUAAGCCGGUAGUUGAUCAGGAUCAAAGGGGUUGAAAUAUCAUAUUUUAUUCCAACAGCAUUUUCAGUUUUAGGGUUGAAUGUAGCAUCCAGUGUGCGGUAUUUGUAAUAACAAAUAGCAUUCCCGUGUUGCAUUAACACUAAAUUAGGUCCAAAUCAGUCCUAUAGGGUUUUUUUUUCCCUCAAUUCAUAAAAUGAAAAAAGUAGUCUUGCAAAGGUAGACUUGGAAGGUGGAGAGAACCGUGCCAGGCUUAGUAAGGGUAGGACUUUAAUAGGAAGGACUGACCAAGUAUUAUGAGGUGGGGUGAGAAGGUUAUUGAGUAAGGUGUGGUUUGCCAAUGGAAGGCCUUAAGUAACUGUACCUUAAGGGGUAAUUUUGUAUAAAGAAUGCAACAUACAAUCAGUAUUGUGGAGACCUUAUUUUGGUGUGUAAAGCGUGGGCUGGGGUUGAUACUGGAGGCCCCAGGCUAUGGAGCAGUCUACUGCACCAACGAUGAGGGCCUAGACCAGUGAGGCUGUAGCAACAGACAUGUUGCCAAAGAAACCCAACCUGGCUUGCUAUAGGCUAAGCAGAGGAAUCAAAACCCCAAUUUUCAAGCCCAGGUGUGGAAGGCAGAAUGACCCCCAAAGUACAAGAUUGCCAGAAUCUGUGAGUGUGGUAGUCUUUAUGUCAGAGAUUUAAGGUUGCUAAUUAGCUGACUUUAAAAUACAGAUCAUCCUAGAUUGUCUAGGGGCCCAAUGUAAUAACAUGGUCUUUAAGUGUAUGAGGGAAAGUCAGAGAAACAUGUGAUAACAGAAGCAGGGUCAGAGAUGCCAUGUGCUAGCUCACAGAUGCAGGAAGGGAAUCAUGCGGAGAGUGCAGGUGGCCUCUAGAAGCUGGAGAAGUGAAGGGGAUGAAUUCCCUUUAGAGCCUCCAGGAAAGAACGCAGCCCUGCUCUCACCUUGACUUCAGCCCAGUGAACUUCGUAACUUUAACAGAUCUGCAUUGUUUCAAGCCACAAAAUUUCAUGCAAUGUAUAGCAGCAAUAGGAAGUGAAUGAUCAAAAUUACAUGUGAACAGAAAGAGCUAGAUUGAGAAAGGAGACAAUUUCUGUGUUUUUUUUUUAAUCUAAGGGUGUAAUUCAUCUUAAAGAGGCACCCUUCAUCUUGUGAUGCUUGCAGAUCAGAUCUGAUUAAGCAUCAGUCUGUCUUCAUCCAAGACAAAGCUAUGGAAUCUACACCAUUAAAAACAAAAGCAGCAUCUGCCACACAGACACAUUACAAUUCACGAACUCAGAGUCAAAUUAAUGAAAACGACAUUGGCUCCCUAGAACAUAAUGGCAUCAAGGCCAUGAAUGUUGUGUAAAAAUGGUACGGUAAUUUUUAUUCCCUUUCAUGUUAUGUAAAAUCACUGGGGAGUCAUUAGAAAGUUGUAAUUUCAUAGGUAAAUAAGAAAAUGAAAAGAUAGAGAGGGUCAUAUUGAUUAGUGAGGGAUGCUAUUGUAUAGAAGGCAAAGUUACCAACGAUUAAAAAGAACGUAAACAGGUUCUAAAGUAAGGGUACAGCUAACUAACCCUUGACCUUAGAGGUAAAAGGAGAAAAAAGUGGGAAGCCACAACUGAGGUGAGCCGAGAACAUCGUGCUUUGGUCUAAAAUUAAGGCCUUAAUGCCCAGACUACACAUGCAUCACCGCUGCUUACCCUAGCGUUAAUAUCCUCUCUUAUAAAAAUAUUAUUAAAAAACCACCAUGAGAUGCCAAGUCGUAGGAUCUAGUUAGCGCCCCCUUGAGCAAAGGUAUAGGAAGGACUCUGUGAGAAGUCUGCACCGGAAAGUGUGAAGUCCUAAGAAUCUGUUGCAUGUUGUUACAUAUGCUCAAGCAUGGUUGCUCUGACUGCAGGCUUCAAAAGGGGUUCUGGGCACUGGAGGCCCGUUGUUCUACCCAUCAUUUUAAUCAAGUCAGUAUACAAGACGGAUAUGGCCAGGAUAUCUUACCUCUCCUACUUGCUGGCAUCAUGCCUAGAAGCAAACUCCAGAACUGGAAGCUUGUUGUCAAGGUGCCCAGUAUAAACCAACAAUCCCAUCAACCAGUACCUUGCCUGCCAGACUGUGCUCUCCAAACAAGUGACAGGUCUGAAGCUUGUAAGGUCUUCCCAGCAUUAUCUAAACAUUGUCUUCCCAAUUGGCAUAUGCAUUUGGAUGCCAUGAAUAAAGCGCUCCUUGUUCAGGUGUCUGGGAACACCUUGAUAAAAGCCAGUAUCUCAACCCCGGCCGUGUAUCAGAGUCCUUAUGGCACUAAAUGCUUCCCAUUGUUUAAAUGAAGCACUCAGGACUGACCACCACUGAGAUUAAAUGACCUUUAAUGGGCUAAUGUGGAUUAAUGAGAAUUUUCAUAGAGAGCCUAAUGUAGCCAGGCCUCUGUAUCCUUGGUUUCCACAUUCAUGGAUUCAACCAAUCACAGAUCAGAAAUAUUAGAAAAAAAUUUCCAGAAAGUUCCAAAAGGCAAAACUUGAACUUGCCACUUGCUGGCGACUGUUUAUAUAGCAUUUACAUUGUAUCAGGCGCUAUGAGUAAUCUGGAGAUGAUUUAAAGCAUAUGGGAGGACAUGUGUAGGUUAUAUGCAAUCUGCAGGGGGUCCUGGAACUGAUUCCCUGUGGACACCAAGGGAUGACUGUACAGUGUUUCCCUUAACCUACCUGACCACAGAACUCUGAGAAAACCGAGCUCAGAAAAUGCUGCUCCAAGUAUGAAAAUUAGUAUGCUAAAAACAAGUGGAAAUAGGAAAGAAUAACGGAAUUUGGUAUCAUACAAUGAAAGUUACACAAAAGAAAACACACAUGAAUAUGUUGCUAACAUGAAAGCCUUUGUUUUUAAUUUGAUUGAUACACAUUUGACAAAAUAUUUUAGAAUAAAAUAAUCCAUUAACAGGCACAAGGUAUUUACAGUAACAACUGUGAAAAACAUAAAACUGAUGUACUCUUAAACAGUAAUGUCUAUUUAUAAAAUUUUUUGUUGUGAAUCCGGAAGACUUUCAUUUCUGCUCCUUACCCUGGUCUGAAGCCCCGACAGAUGGUGCGGAAGGCCCAGGAGUAGGAGGUGCAACCCUGACACAUUUGGCAAAUAAGGAUCAUCUAUUGGUUUGAGCUCACGGGGAAGUGAAGGGCCAGAUCUUGGGGUAAGGUCCAGAAUGGAAGACUCCAAAGGAAACAACUAAAGACAAGGCCUAAAAUCACACUCAUGUUUCUCAGUUUCCUACAGGAGAAGGCUGCAAACUAUUUUUUAAACGGACUCAAUUUCCCCUCUUUUAGCAGAAAAUCAGCAACCCUGAGACUCCAAUCUUCCAUAAUAUAAAAGUUAAUAAACACCUAGAAGGGGUUCAAGAUUUAAAAAUAACUUUAUAUGACCAAAUAGAAACUUUAAAAUAAUUUUUAUGAUGUGAAAAUACUUGAGAACAAAAUAUCUCAAAAUUUUCAUGCCUAAUUCUUAAACAUUCUAACGAAUAAUUUCCAAUGUCUGAAAUUAGUUGCACAAAAAGAUACACUUUAACUAGAUGUUUUAAAUUGAGUACAACUUGCUCUUGAUUGUUAAAUGGAAUGCCUACCUCUUCAUAUUAUUCAAAUAUACUGAAAUUAAUUUUACCCAUCUGGAAUAUACAAUAUGAAUUUACUGACUUACACGACAACCACAUAAACAAAGAUCAAGAAAAAAAUAACCAAACGCUUAUGCUUUGUAACACUACUGAGACACAGUACACCAUACAUGUCAACAUCUACUGAUCCAACUAGGCUAUUUAACUAUACUUUCAACAAUGGGUUCAAUAAACAACUCUGUAGAGCAUAUAUCCACACUGUAUUUAAAAAUCAAAUUUGCUGCUCCUCCAGUGGAGGUUCCAGAGCUUCCAUUAGCUUUUUAUUUGCCUCUUCAUUAUGCCGGCUUUGACAAUGAGUUAAAUGUUUCUUAAAGCCUCUUGGAAAAUUUGACUCAAAAUUACAACGUGGACAUUUAAGUAAACUUUGCCCAUGAGCUGCUACAUGAUUUUUAAGGAGAGAUUCCAAAAGGAAAGCCUUUCCACAAAUUGUACAUUUGUAGGGACUGUGGACAUUAUGCUUGUUAACCAAAUGAUGCAAAACAGCACCUUUUUUCAUAGCACGACAGCAACAGAUUUUGCAGUAAUACUUUCCUUUUCCACGCUUCAUGUAUUUUGCAAUCUCCUCUUCAGAGAUAAAAGCCUCUUUUUCUUCAGUAAACUGCAGUACAUUCUUGGACUGCUCUGGACUAGUCAUGUCUAUUUUGUUCUCUUUACUAAAAUCAAUCGAUUCCACGUCAACCUGCUCUUGAUCACUGCUCGAUUCUUGGCCCUUACUAUCUAUCGCAUCCAGAUCUGCUUUUAUAUACUCACUGCUACUAAGCUCAGCAUCCGAGUUCUCUUGGUUGUCUUUCUUGAGCUUCUUUGAGGAAGGAAAUAAAGUGUCUUCUAAGAGUUUCUUAGGUGUAGCUAGUAGUUCUUCCUGAACCAAAACAUCACACUUUUGAUCGUCUAUGGCAUCUGCCUGUAGUUCAUCACCAAGCUCAACUGCCUUCUGAGAUUCUGAGAAGACAGCAGCUUUGGGAAGUUCGGGGAAAAGGGCAUGUUUCCGGGGCUCUGGAAAAAGAGCACGUUUUCGUGGUUCAGGAGAAGCACGAGAGGCUGUUUUGGUAGGCUCAGAAAACAGGGCAGGUUUUCUAGGCUCAGUAUCAAUAGAGAGAACAGGCUUCCAGAUAUCAGAGGAAGCUUUAGGGGACUCAGAUGGCCCAGAAGGACCUGGUUUCCGGGUCUCAGGGAAGACAGGUUUCUGAGGUUCAAUAAAAAAGGAAGACUUCCAGAGAUCAGGGGAACCACCACGGGAACUCUUCUGGGACUCAGAAAAAUCAAGUGAAGCAGGAGAAGUUUUCCGCUGAUCAGGGGAAAGCUUCCAAAGCUCUGGAGACCCUGAGGGUUUUCUGAGCUCUGGAGAUCCCGCUGGACUACGGAUCUCUGGGGACAGUGGUGGGCCUGGUUUGCGAAGCUCAGGAGACAAGGGAGGUCCUGAUUUACGGAGCUCAGGAGACACUGGAGGAACUGUCUUCCAGUGUUCAGGUGACAAGGUGGGCGCUGUCUUUCGGAGUUCUGGUGGGCCAGACUUCCAUGACUCAGGAGAUGCGGGGGGAGAUUUCCAGGAACCAGGUGAGACUGAUGAAGACUUCCAGGACGCAGGGGACAUGGAUGGAGUUGGUUUCCAAGGUCCAGGUGAUAUAGAAGGAAUUGGUUUCCAAGGUCCAGGAGACACAGAUGGAGCAGGUUUAGCUGGCUUCCAAGGUCCUGAUGAUGCUGACGGACUGGACUUCCAAGACCUGGGAGACCCAGGUGGCCCUGGCUUCCAAGAACCUGGUGACACAGCUGGGGCUGGUCUCCGAGGCUCUGGGGACACAGCAGGGAAUGGCUUCCAAGGUUCAGGAGACUCCGAUGGGGACAGCUUCCUUGGCUCAGGGGAGACAGUCCGGACCGGCUUCCGAGACUCUGGAGACGCUGUUGGGGAAGGUCCCCAAGGUUCAGGGGAGGCAGCCAGAACUGGUGAGUCUGGAGAUGAGGCUGAAGGUGGCCCCAAUGUUUCUGGGAAAUGAGAGUGUUUCUGGGGUUUGGGAUUAGUAAGAGUUGCCUUCACUGGCUCAGGAGAUACGGGAGCAAGUUUCUGUGGUUCUGGAGAAGGAACAGGGACUGGUUUCUGAGAUUCAGAAACAAGAGGGACUGGUUUUGGAAGUUCAGGAGAAGAAACAGGGGCAGGUUUCGGAGGCUCGGGAGAAGGAAGAGAAGGUGUCUGUGGCUCAGGAGAAACAACAGGGCCAGGUUUCUGAGAGUCCAGGGAAGUAAGAGGAGUAGAUUUUGGUGAUUCUGGAGACAUAACUGGGCCAAAUUUCUGUGUUUCUAUGGAAAGGGCAGGUAUAGGUUUCAGGAGUUCUGCUGAAUUAGAGGCCAUUUUCUGGUGUUCAGGAACAGAAGGGCUUUUCACAGGAUCUGCUUCUUUGUUUAACUGAUUUUUUGGUUUCUCAUUCCAUUUCUCUGGGGCUGAAUGUUUGGAUGUGAUGUGAUAGUAUACAUUAGAGUACAUCUUGCUGGUGAAAAAGCAUUUAUGGCAGUGAAAUAGCUUUGCACUUUUCUGGUAAAAUAUCAUUUUACCUAACCCACCAGCAUCCAUUUCAUCACAGAAUUCUGGAUGGAUGGUACCCAUGUGGAUUUGUACAUUUUCAUAAUCCGUGCCUCUGAAAUUGCAGUGGUCACACUCCAAACGUGCCGAUGGCUUACGAAGUUCCUGGAAUACUUCCAUUUUUCUAACAUACACGAUUGUAUUCUUUAAAAACAGUGCUGCAAUAAAGCAGAAAUAAAUGAUUUUCAGAGAACGUUUUUGAAUAAAAUGCUGUUUCUAGUCCAUUCUUACUUGCAUAAGUCUAGAAUGGCACGUGCAUCUAUUAGAUAAUAUCUCUAUAAAGAUUUUGAAGAGAUGGGAAAAAUAAUAAUUAAUUUUAAACUGAGUCCCAGGAACUCUGCUAUUUUUACAUACAUCAUCUCAUUUAACACUCCUAACAACAUGACUCAAAUAUUACUUUCAUUUACAGAUGAAGAAAUUAAUGUUCAAAGAAACGACUUACCCAGGUUACAGGACUAUCAGGGACCCAAGCUUCACUCCAGAAUUAUCUAUUGCAUGUGCCUUACACUUUGACUCUAAAACCGCGAAUCAACAAGCUGUCAGUACGCAAAGCUGAGUAAAUAUCAAAGCUAAAGCUAGGCUAUUAAGGCAGAGCAAGAAACUUUAGGUCCAUUUCAGAAAGCACUUGUUAAACUAAUCUAACAUGAAAAGACAGCUUUAAAAAAAAGUCAACAUAUCUUGUAAUGUUUUAUCCAUCCUAAUAUACUUUAUCCAUUCAUUUAAUAAAUUAAUUAUUUUGUGCCCCAUGCUUUUCUAGGCGCUUGGGUUUAAAGGCGUGUCUUGCAAUAUGGUGCUUAUAUCAAUUGGGGAGGUAAGAAUGUGGAGGGCAGCACAGGAAGGCACUCAAGCAGAGAUCCUGAAUGAUGCGAUGGAGUGUGCCACAAACGGCAAUUCAGAUGGAGGACACACUUGAGGCAACUUGCUUGCCAGAAAACAAGACUUUUAAACUUUUAAGCUAGCCUUGUUAAGGUGGUAAAAGUAACAGAAGCUCACAGUUAAAAACAUACUCAUUCACGCAGUACAAGGUACUCACAUAGUAUCACUCCCCAGGGGUAGCCACUGUACUUAUGUGUCACCGAAGAGAAUGUCUAUGUUUACACAUUCUACACAAAUGAGAUAUUAAGCAUAUUUUUCUGCAACGAGCGCUCAUUUAAGGAAGAGAAGGUGUCUGUGGCUCAGGAGAAACAACAGGGCCAGACUCCAGGGAAGUGAGAGGUACAUGUUUUGGUGAUUCUGGAAACAACUGGGCCAGGUUUCUGUGUUUCUAUAGUAAGGGCAGAUACAGGUUUCAGGAGUUCUGUUGAAUUAGAAGGCAUUUUCUAGGAUAUUUUUACAUACAGAGUAAGCACUGAAUUUCCUUUGAAUGUGAGAGUAUUUCUGAAAGGGAAAUUCCUAGAAAUGGAUUACCUGGUUCAAAGGCUAUUUGCAAUUGAAACUGACAUUUUACCAAACUCUCAAAAAGUUGUUGUACUAUUACACACCAACCAAGAAUGUUGAUGUGAAGACUAAUUCCCCAGCUCCCUCAGCAUCAGAGUAUCAUUAAACUUCGAAUCCUUUCUACUUCUUAGGUGAAAACUGAUAUCUCACUAGUGUUUUAAUGUAGUUUAAUGACAAAGACUGAAUAUUUCCCCUUGUUUAUUAGCCAUGUGUAUUUCUUUUUUUUUUUUUUUGCGGUAUGCGGGCCUCUCACUGCUGUGGCCUCUCCCGUUGCAGAGCACAGGCUCCGGACGCGCAGGCUCAGUGGCCAUGGCUCGCGGGCCCAGCCGCUCUGCGGCAUGUGGGAUCUUCCGGGAUCGGGGCACGAACCCAUGUCCCCUGUGUCGGCAGGCGGACUCCCAACCACUGCGCCACCAGGGAAGCCCAGCCAUGUGUAUUUCUUUUUCUAGGGUGUGCUUUGCCCAUUUUUCCUAAUUAUUUGUAAAUAGUCUUUGUAUGUGAAAGAAGUCAGUCCUUUUAUGGAAACUAUCUUCUCACUUUAUUAUUUGUCUCGACUUUAUGAUUUUUUUUUUUGCUACAUACAGUUGGUUUACAUAAAAAUUAAAAACUUAAAAGUGC
Globicephala melas (long-finned pilot whale) is the source of this 10223-nucleotide RNA transcript. It is a transcript of the gene named UPF3A regulator of nonsense mediated mRNA decay, with no coding region annotated. The record is from RefSeq and is a predicted model, not a curated record. Lineage: Eukaryota; Metazoa; Chordata; Mammalia; Artiodactyla; Delphinidae.